Molecule: ribosomal RNA, 253 nt
Filed under: uncultured bacterium
Lineage: Bacteria
Description: partial 16S ribosomal RNA
Rfam family: Bacterial small subunit ribosomal RNA
Source: RNAcentral
UACGUAGGGGGCUAGCGUUGUCCGGAAUCAUUGGGCGUAAAGAGCGCGUAGGCGGCCAGAUAAGUCCGGUGUGAAAGUCACAGGCUCAACCUGUGAAUGCCGCUGGAAACUGUCUGGCUAGAGUCCGGGAGGGGCGAGUGGAAUUCCUGGUGUAGCGGUGAAAUGCGUAGAUAUUGGGAGGAACACCAGUGGCGAAGGCGGCUCGCUGGACCGGAACUGACGCUGAGGCGCGAAAGCGUGGGGAGCAAACAGG